CGCAAACAUAAAGUGAAGUCUAUAUCUCUCUAUCUCUCUCUCUGCCUUUUGUUGUUUGCAAUAAGAAAGAAGAAGAAUCUAUGCUUUUGAUCAAGUCCAUGGCGGACAAGGAAAACAAGCUAAAACCAAACACUUCAUCACUAGAAAUUUCCACAUUUUCCGAUCAGAUUCCGGCGAAUAAUUAUUCUUUAUCAAGCAUCUUUGAUAUGCCAACAUGUGAAACUGAAAAGGGUUCUUCUUUAAGCUUAAUAGAAACCAUGUUUUCUUCUCAUCCAAUUACUACUCCUUCUACAUUCGAUUUGCUUCAACCUCCACCACCAGCUGUACCUUUAUUGGUACCAUCACAAAUAGUCAAUAAGAUUCCGUCGUCUGAGAUUGUAAAUACUCCUAAUUCGUCCUCCAUCUCUUCAUCAUCAACUGAAGCUGCUGCCAAUGAUGAUCAACUACAGCCCAACACUCAAACAGUAGAUGGUGAUGAUCAACACAAGAAUAAGAAACAGUUAAAACCCAAGAAGAAGAACCAAAAGAGGCAAAGAGAGCCGAGAUUUGCGUUCAUGACAAAGAGCGAAGUUGAUCAUUUGGAUGAUGGUUUUAGAUGGAGAAAGUACGGCCAAAAAGCAGUAAAAAACAGCCCCUUUCCCAGGAGCUACUAUCGUUGCACCACCGCAACAUGUGGUGUGAAGAAGAGAGUGGAAAGGUCAUCUGAAGAUACUUCAAUAGUAGUUACAACUUAUGAAGGUAUUCACACUCAUCCAUGCCCCAUUACGCCUCGCAGCUGCAUCGGCAUUCUGUCUGAAACCACCGCCUACGGUGGCUCAAUUGGUGGUCUUGGCGGCAAUGGUGGUGGUUCCUCUUUAUUUAUCCCACAAUUCCAUUAUCAAGCAUUACAACAACAACCGACCUAUUUUCAGACACCAACAUUACCGAUGAACUUUAUUAGUACUUGUGAUUCCUCCUUAUAUUCAUCACAAGAGAGAAGGUUCUCGCCUUCUACUUCUUCUUCUUCCUCUUUGGCUAGAGAUCAUGGGCUUCUGCAGGACAUGGUGCCAUCCCAAAUGAGGAGAGAUCCAAAACAAGACGGAGUAUAUAUGUAGCAGGGUGGCAUUCUCAUUGAGCACUCUGUCAAUGAAAUCUCAAAGCUAGUUCGAUGGGAAUAUAUAUGCUAAGCAUUCUAUAGAGAGGUGACGGUGGCAGCUUGAUGGCUCAUAUAUAUAUAUAGGAGCAUGGCGUCAGAUUUUGUUGAAGAUCUUAUUAAAGCAUAUAGUUGUAUAGAGUAAAUAGGGUUAUGUACUUACCACUGGAGUUGGACAGCCAUGUCCAUAUAUAUGACAGACUUUUUGCUUGAAAUGUCCACUUCAAUUCAAUACUAUAUGCUACUUCAGGCCAGGCAUCAUUUCUUCCCUACACUAUUGAGAUGCAAACUUUAAUCUCCUCCACCUUCCUCUUCUCCAUCCUUCCUUAAUUUCUCUUCAUUUUAUAAAUAUACAGAGCUAUGUAAUUUCAAAAUUAAUCAUUUUAAGUUGCAUGUUUCAAUCUGAAUGAAAACCAAAAGCACGCCAAUCUUAUAUAUUCCUCUAUUUUUGGUUUUAGAUAUAAACAUUCCAAUUAACCAAAAGUUUGAAAUAGCUUAAUUGUUGUUAUAAUUGUGCUGGAUUCGUCUUGUUGAGGCAAUUUCACAAGUACUUCCACCGUUUCACAAAUAUUAUGGGGUGUUUACAACCAUAAAUUUUAA
RNA transcript from Nicotiana tabacum (common tobacco), 1732 nucleotides. It is a transcript of the gene named putative WRKY transcription factor 48, with no coding region annotated. Lineage: Eukaryota; Viridiplantae; Streptophyta; Magnoliopsida; Solanales; Solanaceae. The record is from RefSeq and is a predicted model, not a curated record.